UGCAUGCUUAAAAUACUAUGAAUUGCAAUAUGCUAUCCAUGAUAUCUGGUAUAUCCUUUAUGUUUGCUGUAUUUAGGGGGAGUAAAACAAUUCACAACUAAGAAACAAGCAAUAAAGAAGGAAGCUAAAGAAGUAACAUUAGUAAAAGGGGGAGUAAACAAAAGUAACUUUAGUAAAAUUAAUUUCAUCAAAAGAAAGAAAUAGAGAAAAUAUAUUCAGAAAAGGGGGAAUAAAUAAUUUUUUUGUUGAUGCUGUCA
RNAcentral lists this long non-coding RNA (257 nucleotides) under Elaeis guineensis (African oil palm). RNAcentral's name for it is "long non-coding RNA (EGUI_LNC066730)". The record is from RNAcentral. Lineage: Eukaryota; Viridiplantae; Streptophyta; Magnoliopsida; Arecales; Arecaceae.